GUACACUCCUACGGGAGGCAGCAGUGGGGAAUUUUGGACAAUGGGCGAAAGCCUGAUCCAGCAAUGCCGCGUGAGUGAAGAAGGCCUUCGGGUUGUAAAGCUCUUUUGUCAGGGAAGAAACGGUGAGAGCUAAUAUCUUUUGCUAAUGACGGUACCUGAAGAAUAAGCACCGGCUAACUACGUGCCAGCAGCCGCGGUAAUACGUAGGGUGCAAGCGUUAAUCGGAAUUACUGGGCGUAAAGCGUGCGCAGGCGGUUUUGUAAGUCUGAUGUGAAAUCCCCGGGCUCAACCUGGGAAUUGCAUUGGAGACUGCAAGGCUAGAAUCUGGCAGAGGGGGGUAGAAUUCCACGUGUAGCAGUGAAAUGCGUAGAUAUGUGGAGGAACACCGAUGGCGAAGGCAGCCCCCUGGGUCAAGAUUGACGCUCAUGCACGAAAGCGUGGGGAGCAAACAGGAUUAGAUACCCUUGUAGUCCCAUGA
Molecule: ribosomal RNA, 478 nt
Filed under: uncultured organism
Description: partial 16S ribosomal RNA
Rfam family: Bacterial small subunit ribosomal RNA
Source: RNAcentral